Molecule: ribosomal RNA, 253 nt
Filed under: uncultured bacterium
Lineage: Bacteria
Description: partial 16S ribosomal RNA
Rfam family: Bacterial small subunit ribosomal RNA
Source: RNAcentral
UACGUAGGUGGCGAGCGUUGUCCGGAUUUACUGGGCGUAAAGGGAGCGUAGGCGGACUUUUAAGUGAGAUGUGAAAUACUCGGUCUCAACUUGAGUGCUGCAUUUCAAACUGGAAGUCUAGAGUGCAGGAGAGGAGAAUGGAAUUCCUAGUGUAGCGGUGAAAUGCGUAGAGAUUAGGAAGAACACCAGUGGCGAAGGCGAUUCUCUGGACUGUAACUGACGCUGAGGCUCGAAAGCGUGGGGAGCAAACAGG